GACGAACGCUGGCGGCGUGCCUAAUACAUGCAAGUAGAACGCUGAAGGAGGAGCUUGCUUCUCCGGAGGAGUUGCGAACGGGUGAGUAACGCGUAGGUAACCUGCUUGGUAGCUGGGGAUAACUAUUGGAAACGAUAGCUAAUAUCGUAUAACAUUAGAUGUUGCAUGACAUUUGCUUAAAAGUUGCAAUUUCAUCACUACCAUAUGGACCUGCGGUGUUUUAGCUAGUUGGUGGGGUAACGGCUCACCAAGGCGAAGAUACAUUGCCUAGCUGAGAGGGGGAUCGACCAACCUGGGAAUGAAGCACGGCCCAGACUCCUACGGGAGGGAGCAGUAGGGAAACUUCGGAAAAGGACGGAAGGCUGAACGAGCAAAGCCGGGUGAGGGAAGAAGGGUUUCGGAUCGUAAAGCUCUGUUGUAAGAGAAGAACGAGUGUGAGAGUGGAAAGUUCACACUGUGACGGUAUCUUACCAGAAAGGGACGGCUAACUACGUG
Molecule: ribosomal RNA, 495 nt
Filed under: uncultured bacterium
Lineage: Bacteria
Description: partial 16S ribosomal RNA
Rfam family: Bacterial small subunit ribosomal RNA
Source: RNAcentral